AGAUAGAAAGUGAAGGCUGGAAUUUUUUCCAGCACCUGAAGAUUAGCUCGGCAUUCCUGACCAGGGUUGAUGCCGGAACAGUGCACCCAUCCUGCACUGAUCCGUAAACAGCUCAGACAGGACCCUGUGACUGCUGUUGCAUGUUCACUCCAGAUAUGGUGCAGGGCAGAAUGAUUCCAUCAGUCAAGAAGGCAACCGCCUGGGCCCACGGCACGACUACAGAGUUUACCGACGUUGCGUCAUCAUGACAACAAAGUUGUAAUAUUGGAUACAACUUUACAAAAAUAAGUCUGAAUGAUUCCUGUGCUUAUUUCACCACCUGGAUUUACCACUGUGGAUUAUUACUGGACUGUUACCUGUUUGUUUACUUACAUCAUGCCAUCAUUGCUGUAUGCCGCCGAGAUGUCCUUCAUCUAUCAUCUCCUGUUCUCAUCUACAUUUCCUGCCUGCUCGUUGAUGGACAUUUUGCUCAAUCACCUGUUUGUGUGUUUACAUCAAUAAACUCAUCAUUUUACCUCUGCUAUUUGGGUCCUCAUCUAAAAAUUCCUGAAAGAACAGUCUGACCAAGAAUGGACACAGUGGAGGAUUCCACGCUCCAGUCUGCCCUCCACCAGCAGCGAGCACUCCUCGGUUGACAGCAGGGCCAGAUCAACAACACCAGCCGUGCCAUGGCGGAGCGGAUAGCCGAACUUACUUCAGCUCUUCGAUAUCUUCAGAUCUCUCCCAGCUCCAAUCCCACCACCGACGGUGCCACUGCUGUUUCCGCAGCGGUUGAUUCUACUACCAGGCCACC
Molecule: long non-coding RNA, 793 nt
Organism: Myxocyprinus asiaticus (Chinese sucker)
Lineage: Eukaryota; Metazoa; Chordata; Actinopteri; Cypriniformes; Catostomidae
Exons: 3
Source: RefSeq, a predicted model, not a curated record